UUUGUUUGUAGAUCCCACAUAUAUAUCAUCUUAGUGUAUGAAGAAACAGCUGGGUUGACGGUCAAUGAUCCUAUUUUACGAACACACAAGCCUUUGUCGGUGGAGUUGGGUCCUGGAAUCUUGGGGAAUAUAUUUGAUGGUAUUCAGAGGCCUCUAAAGACCAUCGCAAAGCGAUCUGGUGAUGUGUAUAUCCCUCGUGGUGUCUCUGUCCCGGCCCUUGACAAGGACACCCUUUGGGAAUUCCAGCUUAAAAAAAUAGGUGAGGGAGGUCUUGUAACAGGGGGAGACUUAUAUGCUAUUGUCUUUGAGGACAGUUUAGCGCAAUACCAUGUUGCACUUCCUCCUGAUUCUAUAGGAAAGAUAACCUCCAUUGCACCAGUUGGUCAAUAUUCAUUGAAGGUUUGUCUAAUUUA
Camellia sinensis is the source of this 413-nucleotide non-coding RNA. The record is from RefSeq and is a predicted model, not a curated record. Lineage: Eukaryota; Viridiplantae; Streptophyta; Magnoliopsida; Ericales; Theaceae.